CCGGUGAACCGGGCGGCCGCGCUACGGGCAUCUUCGGAUGCCCUUAGUGAGGAAAGUCCGGACUCCACAGGGCUGGGCGGUUGGUAACGCCAACCCGGGGCGACCCGAGGGAAAGUGCCACAGAGAACAGACCGCCGAUGACCCGCUUCGGCGGGCACAGGCAAGGGUGAAACGGUGCGGUAAGAGCGCACCGCGCCCGUGGUGACACGGGCGGCACGGCAAACCCCGCCCGGAGCAAGGCCAAAUAAGCAGGGAGCGCCGGCCCGGCGCACUCGACCUGCGGGUAGGCCGCAAAGAGCGGCGCGGCGACGCGCCGACAAGAUUAAUGGCCGCCGCCGCGCGGAAGCGCGGCACAGAAUCCGGCUUACAGGUUCACCGUUUGA
RNAcentral lists this RNase P RNA (383 nucleotides) under Planctomycetota bacterium. RNAcentral's name for it is "Planctomycetes bacterium RNase P RNA component class A". It matches the Rfam family "Bacterial RNase P class A". Rfam says of the family: Ribonuclease P (RNase P) is a ubiquitous endoribonuclease, found in archaea, bacteria and eukarya as well as chloroplasts and mitochondria. Its best characterised activity is the generation of mature 5'-ends of tRNAs by cleaving the 5'-leader elements of precursor-tRNAs. The record is from RNAcentral. Lineage: Bacteria; Pseudomonadati; Planctomycetota.